AGGACUAACGCUGGCGGCGUGCCUAACACAUGCAAGUCGAGCGGGGUAGCAAUACCCAGCGGCAGACGGGUGAGUAACGCGUGGUCAACCUUCCGUUGAAUGGGGGAUAACUAGCCGAAAGGUUAGCUAAUACCGCAUACGAUCUUUUGAAGGCAUCUUUAAAAGAUGAAAGGAGCAAUUCGUUCAACGACGGGACUGCGUCCCAUUAGCUAGAUGGUGGGGUAAUGGCCUACCAUGGCAACGAUGGGUAGCUGGUUUGAGAGAGCGACCAGCCACACUGGGACUGAGAAACGGCCCAGACUCCUACGGGAGGCAGCAGUGAGGAAUUUUCCGCAAUGGGCGAAAGCCUGACGGAGCGACGCCGCGUGUGGGAAGAAGGCCUUCGGGUCGUAAACCACUGUCGAAGGGGACGAUAAUGACGGUACCCUUGGAGGAAGCCCCGGCUAACUACGCGCCAGCAGCCGC
RNAcentral lists this ribosomal RNA (465 nucleotides) under uncultured bacterium. Its description in RNAcentral is "SSU rRNA". It matches the Rfam family "Bacterial small subunit ribosomal RNA", at positions 26 to 518 of the family's 1533-position model. The record is from RNAcentral.